Dama dama (fallow deer) is the source of this 689-nucleotide non-coding RNA. NCBI's taxonomy places the organism in Eukaryota, Metazoa, Chordata, Mammalia, Artiodactyla, Cervidae. The record is from the annotation of a RefSeq genome assembly.
AAUGGGAUUCCUUUUUGUAUUCAGGAGCUGGUUUGACUUGCCUCCUCUGUAGCCACAAGGCAGAUGACGGCUGCUGUGCAGAAAGGGGUCCCCAUUUUCUGGGUGAGGAGCUUCUGUAAGAUCGAGCUGAAGACUAACUUUGUUAGAUUUGAUGUUUCUAGGGAACAAGGACUGUCGCCAGAAUGUUUUCUGCCACUCACUCAGUUCUGGUCAUCUUCUUAAUACUUGGAGGGACCAAUGGUGACUCAGUGAACCAGACAGAAGGCCCAGUGACUGUCUUAGAGGGGGCUUUCAUGACCCUGAACUGCACUUACCAGGCCACGUAUUCAAAUUUCUAUCUUUUUUGGUACAUCCAGCAUCUCAACAAAGCUCCUCAACUCCUCCUGAAGGGCCUAACAGCAGACAAGAAGGUAGAGCAUGAAGGUUUUCAGGCCACUCUUGUUAAGAUGGACAGCUCCUUCCACCUGCAGAAACAGGCAGUGCAAGCAUCAGACUCGGCUGUGUACUACUGUGCUCUGAGUGACACAGUGAUGGAGGGCUUGAAAGCCUUUGAACCGGAGCUGCUGCAGCCGUGGGAUGAAAAAGCUUGCAGCGGGUGGAGGUUGCUCGUCAUUGCGGUGCACGGGCUUCUCACCGUGGCGGCUCCUCUUGGUGCGGAGCACGGGCUCCCGCUGCACCGGCUUCAGUAG